UAGCAAAGUUAGGAGUUGAACCUAAAAACCCUAGAACAUGAGUCUAGGUAGCCACCGCGCUUUUCUCUGCU
RNAcentral lists this transfer RNA (71 nucleotides) under Proteromonas lacertae. Its description in RNAcentral is "tRNA-Met". Lineage: Eukaryota; Bigyra; Opalinata; Proteromonadidae. The record is from RNAcentral.